Molecule: small nucleolar RNA, 81 nt
Organism: Nannospalax galili (Upper Galilee mountains blind mole rat)
Lineage: Eukaryota; Metazoa; Chordata; Mammalia; Rodentia; Spalacidae
Source: Ensembl
CCGAUACAGUGAUGAUAACAUAGUUCAGCAGACUUACACUGAUGAACAAUCAAAGUCUUUCGCUCCUAUCUGAUGUAUCUG